UUGAACGCUGGCGGCAGGCCUAACACAUGCAAGUCGAGCGGAUGAAGGGAGCUUGCUCCUGGAUUCAGCGGCGGACGGGUGAGUAAUGCCUAGGAAUCUGCCUGGUAGUGGGGGAUAACGUCCGGAAACGGGCGCUAAUACCGCAUACGUCCUGAGGGAGAAAGUGGGGGAUCUUCGGACCUCACGCUAUCAGAUGAGCUAGGUCGGAUUAGCUAGUUGGUGGGGUAAAGGCCUACCAAGGCGACGAUCCGUAACUGGUCUGAGAGGAUGAUCAGUCACAGUGGGACUGAGACACGAUGCAGACUCCUACGGGAGGCGGCAGUGCGGAAUAUUGGAGAAUGUUUGAAAGUCUGAUCCAGCCGUGCGGCGGGAGGGAAGAAGGUCUUCUGAUUCUUAAGCACUUUAAGUUGGGAGGAAGGGCAGUAAGUUAACACCUUGCUGUCUUGAGGUGAGCAACAGAAUAGGCACCGGCUAACUCCGUG
Molecule: ribosomal RNA, 482 nt
Filed under: uncultured bacterium
Lineage: Bacteria
Description: partial 16S ribosomal RNA
Rfam family: Bacterial small subunit ribosomal RNA
Source: RNAcentral